Molecule: unclassified non-coding RNA, 266 nt
Filed under: Hevea brasiliensis (rubber tree)
Lineage: Eukaryota; Viridiplantae; Streptophyta; Magnoliopsida; Malpighiales; Euphorbiaceae
Source: RNAcentral
UUUGUAUUUAUCAGUUAUGGGACUCGUAAAUUAGUGCUCUCCGGGAUGUAGCUAGAAAUGACUACUUUCCCUUCAAGUAAUUUAGAUGUGUCGGCAGGGGGCCUUAUGUUUUUAAUUAAUUAAUAAUGAAUAACAGGGUAGAAGAGGAGAAUAAAAAAUAUGUAUAAAGCAGGACACCCCCUGAAAGUCACAAAAUGUCAAAAGAUACCUUUUGGUUUUACAGCUAAGAUUUUUCAACAUGCUUGUGGAUUUCAACAUAACAUGUA